Molecule: long non-coding RNA, 2761 nt
Filed under: Nicotiana tabacum (common tobacco)
Lineage: Eukaryota; Viridiplantae; Streptophyta; Magnoliopsida; Solanales; Solanaceae
Description: long non-coding RNA (NTAB_LNC000640)
Source: RNAcentral
CAUGAACAAAUAAUAUUUUUUAAAAACUAAAGAGUCAAAAUUUAUGACCAAACGGGAAUCUAAUGUAUUGUCAUGCAUGACACACACACGAGCAUACAAAGUAAGUUGUCACGCAUUUUCAAAUUAAGAAAGCAGGAAGAUUGAAAUUUCAUUAAAUUAAAAUCAACAAGAAAAAAAUUCUAGCUGGAAUCCAAAAAUUCAGCUUUAUUGGUACAACAAAAAUGUCAAAUCGGUAUAUAAAGAUAACAAAAAAAAAAAGUAAAAGAAUAACAUAAAAUCAAUACUAUACUAUUUAAUUCAACAAUCUAGCAAAGGCAAGUGACAAGAAAGUGACUGGCAAAGCUGCAAGAACCAAAGAUGGAGCUGAGCCACUUGGUGGUGGUGGUGAAGUGACCGGAGAAUCACCCGAGGGGGCGGAUGGGACGGUGGAGCCAGAUGGCGUGGCGGCGAUGGAAGGCGUGGGGGCGGCGGCGCUGGUGCCGGUGACUUUGAUAGCUAGCUUUUGACCUAAUGAGCAGUGGCUAGGGAAAGUGCACAUGUAGUAAUUUUCACCAGAAUUUGUAAGUGUGAUCCUAGCAGGACCAGUGUUAAUUGUGUUAAUAGUAGAAGUAGUGUUGCAUGAAUCAUAAGCUGCCUUACUAACCAUUGCAACAUUGUGCCUCCCAUUGACAAAAUUGAAAACUGCAUUGAAAAAUAUAAGAAAGGUUAGAAUGUCAGAUCAACAACUAUAAAUAUAGUAAUAGGUAUUUUCAUAAAGAACUACAGUUUAUAGCCUAAUUACCAUACGUAACUGUAGUUUGCUUAAUUGUCAUUCGUAACUAUUGUUCAAUUGUUACCGGCUUAUAUCAUUUGUAUUCAUUCGUUAUCAACACAUAUAAUACACUGAAAUACAGUGAUACAUACAGUUGUUGUAUUAUUGUAUGUGUGACUCCAUACACUGCAUUUACCAUUGUGAUUUUGCUGCAAAAUACAAUUGUAGCUGCAAGUUGUAAUUAUUUCAAAGUGUAUUUAUGUAUGGUAAAUACAGUAGAUAAGUUAGUUACACCAUGUAAUUUUCAUAGAAAUGAGAGUAUUUCAAGAUAAAUGUGAUACAAAAUAUUACUCCUAUUUGAAUUAUAAGCACUAUUGGCACCUCAAAUGUUGGGAGGUUUUAAUGCACGAUGGUAAGUAUAAUCGGGUCAUUUAUAAGGUAAUUAUAGAUAAAUAUUAUGAUAAAUAUUAAUUGAUAACCUGAUAAAAAAUGGUAAACGAAUUCGGGAUAAGUUUUAGUGCUUACCAAGAGUAUCUCCAACUUUGAAGGAUUUGCCAUUAGCCCAAGUUUGAUAAGCAUUUGGGCCACCAGUAGUAGGAACAUUCCAGCCCAUGUUGCCUCCAACAGUAUAAGUUUGGGCUGCAACUGUAGGUGAGGGUGCUGCCGCUGAUGGGGCGGGAGCUGUUGAUGGGUUCGCUGAAGGAGCGGUCACUGGAGUGGCAGUGGGAGGAGUGGUGGGCCUGGCGGCAGCUGGCUGAGGAGCCGGAGAGGCGGAGCCGGCGACAUUGAUAGCCAAUUUCUGGCCCAAUGUACAAUGGCUUGGCAAGGUGCAAAGGUAGUAAUGUGAUCCAGCAGAUCUCAAUGUAAUAUUUGUUGGCCCAUUAGUGGAUAUAGAAAUUGGGUUUGCGGUAUUGCAUGAAUCAAAAGCUGCCUUUGACACCUCAGCCACACUAUGCAAUCCGGUUGUAAAGUUAAAAACUGCAUAAAGAAAAAAAUGAUUCCAAAUAAAUUUAUUAGUUACUAAAAGUUAUUAAAACCACGAAAAUUUAUGAUUUUGAAAGUCUUGUAAUCCACCGUGAUGAAAGGUCACUUCACUAGACAUGGAGGUGAAUUUAGAGCGGGCUUUAUGAUUUUCUGACUCGAACAAAGGAAAAAAAACACAUUUCUAAUGCAUACAUAUAACAACAUAGGACUCAUUCUGAAUUCAACAACAACAAUAAUAAAUAAUCUCACAAAGAUGAGUUUAGGAAGGGUUGUUUCGAUAGACUCAGACGCAACUAAGGAUGACAAGAAGCAUAAAUAAUACUUCCUUCGCUUCAAUUUAUGUGAAUUUUUUUUUUUGUAGUUCGUAUCAAAAAGAAUAAUUUCUUUCCUUAUUUGGAAAAAAUUAUCUUUAUGUAAUUAUUUAUAUGUAUUUCAUUUUACACCACAAGUUCAAAAAUCUUCUCUCUAUUCUUAAACUUCGUAUCUAGUCAAACGAGUUCACUUUACAUAUAAUUCUUUUCUAGCAAAUAAUUAAAUCUAUCUACAUGUUCUUUUAAAAUUAUUUAACUAAUAUAUAUAAAAGUCGAAUGGAAUGUAGCGUGUCAUGAUUUUGUACGUAUUUGCCACUAGAUAUGGACACGAGGAGAGAAAAUAAUUGACUAUAAAGCAAUACAAGUGGGAAGGAAUCUAGGUAAUAAAAAAGCAAAAAGUGUAUCACACAUUACCACUUUGUUAGACUAAACUAAACAUAAUUAACAAAAAAGUAACAUAAGUGGAAGAAAGAUUAAUCUAGAGCAAAGAAUGGGUCAAUUAGUUGUGAUAAUUUAAUUACUAACCAAGAAUGUCCCCGACGGCGAAGGUUUUCCGGGAAGUCCAGGUGGUAUAAGCGGCGGCGCCACCGUUAGGAACGGUCCAAGCCAAAGCAUCACCAACUACAUGAGUCUGUUGUGCCAUUGUAACAUGUAAUAAAGCAGCUGCAAAUAUUGCAAAAGUAGCCAAAUUCAGCUUUCUGGCCAUUUUUGCUAU